This 1411-nucleotide ribosomal RNA is filed under the name uncultured bacterium. RNAcentral describes it as "bacterial SSU rRNA". It matches the Rfam family "Bacterial small subunit ribosomal RNA". The record is from RNAcentral.
CAGUGCGGAGACUGCYGGGCGAACGGGUGAGUAACACGUGGGUAUCURCCCUCGAGUGGGGAAUAAGCUUCCGAAAGGGGGUCUAAUGCCGCAUAACAACGAUGGUUCAAAGCCCAAAGGCGCUCGAGGAGGAGCCUGCGUCCUAUCAGCUUGUUGGCAGGGUAAUGGCCUACCAAGGCUAUGACGGGUAGCCGGCCUGAGAGGGUGUCCGGCCACACUGGAACUGAGACACGGUCCAGACUCCUACGGGAGGCAGCAGUGGGGAAUUUUGCGCAAUGGGGGAAACCCUGACGCAGCGACGCCGCGUGGAGGAUGACGGCCUUCGGGUUGUAAACUCCUGUCAGAAGGGACGAAUCCCGCAAGGGACUGACGGUACCUUCAGAGGAAGCCCCGGCUAACUACGUGCCAGCAGCCGCGGUAAUACGUAGGGGGCAAGCGUUGCUCGGAAUUACUGGGCGUAAAGGGUGAGUAGGCGGUCGRGCAAGUCAAGGAUGAAAUCCCGAGGCUCAACUUCGGAAUUGUUCUUGAAACUGYUCGRCUUGAGGGUAGUUGAGGAGAGUGGAAUUCCCGGUGGAGCGGUGAAAUGCGUAGAUAUCGGAGGAACACCUGAGGCGAAGGCGGCUCUCUAAACUACUCCUGACGCUGAAUCACGAAAGCUAGGGGAGCAAACGGGAUUAGAUACCCCGGUAGUCCUAGCCGUAAACGAUGGGUGCUAGGUGUUGGGGGGUAAAGACCCUCGUGCCGAAGCCAACGCGAUAAGCAUCCCACCUGGGGAGUACGGCCGCAAGGUUGAAACUCAAAGGAAUUGGCGGGGGUCCGCACAAGCGGCGGAGCAUGUGGUUUAAUUCGAUGCUGCCCGAAGAACCUUACCAGGGUUUGACAUGUGGUAUAGGAACCUGAAAGGGGACGACACGUAAGGGAGGAGCGCACAGGUGUUGCAUGGCUGUCGUCAGCUCGUGCCGUGAGGUGUCGGCUUAAGUGCCGUAACGAGCGCAACCCUCAUCCCUAAUUGCUCCUGACAAGUAGCACAAUAGGGAGACCGCUGGCGAAGAGCCAGAGGAAGGGGAGGAUGACGUCAAGUCAGCAUGGCCUUUAUGCCCUGGGCUACACACAUGCUACAAUGCAGGGUACAACGGGAAGCGAAGCUGCGAGUGGAGCAAAUCCCCAAAAGCCCUGCUCAGUUCGGAUCGUACGCUGCAAUUCGCGUGCGUGAAGUCGGAGUCGCUAGUAACCGUGGAUCAGAAAGCCGCGGUGAAUACGUUCUCGGGCCUUGCACACACCGCCCGUCAAGCCACCCGAGUCGGGUUCACCAGAAGGCCGGUAACCGAAGAGGGCCGGACGACGGUGUGCCUGGUAAGGAGGGCUAAGUCGUAACAAGGUAGCUGUACCGGAAGGUGCGGCUGGAUCACCU